RNAcentral lists this unclassified non-coding RNA (210 nucleotides) under uncultured fungus. Its description in RNAcentral is "sequence contains ITS1, 5.8S rRNA gene". The stretch from base 162 to 210 matches the Rfam family "5.8S ribosomal RNA", at positions 1 to 49 of the family's 154-position model. Lineage: Eukaryota; Fungi. The record is from RNAcentral.
UUUCCGUAGGUGAACCUGCGGAAGGAUCAUUAAAGAAUUCGGGCUUUCGGGCCCCAUUCUCAACACUUUGUAUACCUAACUCUGUUGCUUUGGCGGGCUCGCCCGUCGAAGGACCGAAACUCUUGAAUCAUUGCUGUCUGAGUAUGAUUUUUAAUCGUUAAAACUUUCAACAACGGAUCUCUUGGUUCCAGCAUCGAUGAAGAACGCAGC